This 846-nucleotide long non-coding RNA is filed under the name Mytilus galloprovincialis (Mediterranean mussel). The record is from RNAcentral. Lineage: Eukaryota; Metazoa; Mollusca; Bivalvia; Mytilida; Mytilidae.
CGUUGAGGUUUAAACUUAUUCAGAUGUGUCUACUUUUUGUGUUUCAAAUGUCUGGUUAUGUAAUGUAUUUCAGUUGUUUCCUGUAAUUAGUUAAUACUUCAGUUUUAUCAUGUACAUCUUUUGUAUAGUCAUUUUAUAAAAUUUACUGUUUGCAAAAGUAUAAAUUAUUCUAAAUAAUAGGGAUGUUCUGGUAACUAACAGAAAACCCUGGCCGUUUUUGGCACAACUUUUUUGAUCUAUUGGUCCUCGAUGCUGUUCAACUUUGUACUUGUUUCGGCUUUCAAACUUUUUGUAUCUGGGCGUCACUAGUAGGUCUUGUGUGGACAAAAUGCACUUCUGGUGUAUUAAAAUUUUGAACUUGUUGCCUUUUGUUGGCUGUUGUUCGUGUGUUUCUUUGUCAAUUGUGUUCUCCAAUUUAUUUAUAUUGUAGUCCUGUGGUGUUGUGUUGUCAUUUUGAUGUUAUAUUUCACAUGGCUAUAAAAGAGGGAGGUUUGGCAUGCACCACAACCAGGUUCAACCACCAUUUUUUCCUUUAAAAAUGUCCUGUACCAAGUCAGGAAUAUGGCCAUUGUUAUAUUAUAGUUCGUUUCUGUGUGUGUUACAUUUUAACGUUGCGUCGUUUGUUUUCUCUUAUUUUUGGGUGUUAAUUCACAUUGCGAUAAGACGUGUCACGGUACUUGUCUAUCCCAAAUUCAUGUAUUUGGUUUUGAUGUUAUAUUUAUUAUUCUCGUGGGAUUUUGUCUGAUGCUUGGUCCGUUUCUGUGUGUGUUACAUUUUAGUGUUGUGUCGUUGUUCUCUUAUAUUUAAUGUGUUUCCCUCAGUUUUGGUUUGAUACCCCGAUUGUGU